Molecule: non-coding RNA, 297 nt
Organism: Pelobates cultripes (western spadefoot toad)
Lineage: Eukaryota; Metazoa; Chordata; Amphibia; Anura; Pelobatidae
Source: the annotation of a GenBank genome assembly
GUCAGUCUUUUGUGUCUGUGCCAUUGCUUUCAGUGGUCGUAUAUUAGUCAGCGGUAUCUGUGUCGUGUAACAAUUUCAAUAAUAUAUAACAACAAAUGGGAAUAUGAGAUAAAGAGAAAAAGCAAAAAGAACAAUAACUAUAUACAGUUGCGAUAAUAACGUACAAGGUUUGGUAGUAUUAAGUCAAUCGACGGUGUCUGACCCAGUCUAGGGGGGCCUAUCUAGAUUGGGGCCUUUUUGGCACCGCACAGUCAGUGGUUACCUGACUGUUGUCAGAUGUUGGUCUGAUACUUCUGG